CUGGCACCAAACAGGCUUCCUCUCUUUCCCUCCAAAUUUUCUCUCUCUCUAUAAAAUCCUUCCAUUUCUUUUACCUCGCCCUCUGCUAAAAAAAAUCAAAGAGAAGAGUAGAUUCGUUCUCUGUUCUCUACUAACUGGUUCAGUAAGAAAAGUGUAAUAAUAGUAUCGAGAAGAAAUGCAGAACGACGCUGCCUCCACCACCGCUAACGACGAUCUCAACAUUGCUACCGAAUCCCAAGAAUUUCUCCCAAACGAAGUCGAUUUCACCUCCAUAUACUGUCCCAAAUCGUCCCACACUCUCACGCCUUACCUGGACUCUCGCUUUGUGACGCAACAGCAGGACCUGAUAAACCGCAGUGCUCUUUGCCUCACGCGCCUUCGCGAGGCCGCCAGAGAAGUAGAGUCCCUACGCCUGGAGAACGCUGCUCUCCGAUCUGUCAACCGCGAGCUCAACAACCAACUGAGCUUCGUAAUUCAAUCCUCGGUCCAGAAACAUUGCCUCUCCUCUGACUGCAACACCACUCCAUUCGAGAUCUUGAAUGGCUUCCACAAUUUGUGCAACAUUGGAGGUGAUGGAGGAGAAGAACUGUGCGAAGACGAAAUUCCUACGAGCGUAAAGGAGAGGGAGACCGUGGACGCGACGGAUAGAGCAUCUUUGCCUAAGAGUAUUUCUGUGAGGUCCAAUGGAUACUUGAAGACGAGCCAGGCUGGCGUGAGCAAGACCAGGGGAGCGACUCGGCCUAAAACUGCGAGUCCAAUCAAUGGAACGGAAAAAGAUAUAGAACAUUUUGAUAAAUUUCAUUUGAUGGAGUUUACCAUGAUGAGAGGACCUCUGAGUUGCACGAGUGAUCACUCCCCCGACAGAAAAGUGAGGCUGAUCGGCGAUCGCACGUGGUUUUGGCCAUAUUCUUUUCGUUUCUUGAAGAUUAUAAUUGAAAUGUACAAUUUUUUUUGAGAAAUUAAUUCUGCAAGAAAUGGAGGAAAUCGUAGAUAGUUAGAAAUUGGGCCUGAGUGUAAUUGAAUUCGCAAUAAAAUGGAACACAUUGAGCCAAGGAGCGGAAGGUCCAUGUGAGUGAGGCAAGAAAAACGACAGUGACAUGGAGAUGGAAAUGUAGAGGUUAUUCUUGCUCUAUUUGGAAAGAGAGUAUAAUAAAAUUUUUUGAACUGCAAUUUUUACUAAUUUUUAUUAUUUAAAAAUAAAAAAUUUUAAAGUAUUUAAAAGU
RNAcentral lists this unclassified non-coding RNA (1223 nucleotides) under Hevea brasiliensis (rubber tree). The record is from RNAcentral. Lineage: Eukaryota; Viridiplantae; Streptophyta; Magnoliopsida; Malpighiales; Euphorbiaceae.